GCCUAUUAGCUGAGAUAGCUUGGUCGGUUGAGCAUGAGAUUCUUAAUCUCAGGGUCAUGGGUUUGAUCCCCACAUUGGGCA
This is a non-coding RNA of Podarcis lilfordi (Lilford's wall lizard), 81 nucleotides long. NCBI's taxonomy places the organism in Eukaryota, Metazoa, Chordata, Lepidosauria, Squamata, Lacertidae. The record is from the annotation of a GenBank genome assembly.